AGGAAAAAGGCCACAAAAACGGGUGGGCUAUAGGCUUGGGGGGUGGGGCUGGCCCACUUCGUCCGCCGGACUCGGAAUGCCGUGAGACUUUGCGAGAGGCCUCUGUGUGCCAAAAAUAGGCUGCGAGCAAAGCUGCGCCCAAAAAUAACUGCCCGAAGGCCGGGGCGCCAAGUUCGUCCAGCGGAAAAAGGCCACAAAAACGGGUGGGCUAUAGCCUUGGGGGGUGGGGCUGGCCGACUUCGUCCGCCGGACUCGGAAUGCCGUGAGACUUUGCGAGGGGCCUCCGUGUGCCAAAAAUAGGCGGCGGACAAAGCCGCGUCCAAAAAUAACCGCCCGAAGGCCGGGGCGCCAUGUUCGUCCAGCGGAAAAAGGCCACAAAAAAGGGUGGGCUACAGCCUUGGGGGGUGGGGCUGGCCAACUUCGUCCGCCGGACUCGAAGUGGUGCGAGACUUUGCGAGGCCCCUCCGUGUGCCAAAAAUAGGCCGCGGGCACAGGCGCGCCCAAAAAUAACCGCCCGAAGGCCGGGGCGCCAAGUUCGUCCAGCGGAAAAAGGCCACAAAAACGGGUGGGCUAAAGCCGUGGGGGGUGGGGCCGGCCAACUUCGUCCGCCGGACUCGGAAUGGCGCGAGAUUUUUUGAGCGGCCUCCGUGUGCCAAAAAUAGGCCGCGGGGACAGCCGCGCCCAAAAAUAACAACCCGAAGGCCGGGGCGCCAAGUUCGUCCAGCGGAAAAAGGCCACAAAAACGGGUGGGCUAAAGCCUUGGGGGGUGGGGCC
Molecule: long non-coding RNA, 774 nt
Filed under: Citrus x clementina
Lineage: Eukaryota; Viridiplantae; Streptophyta; Magnoliopsida; Sapindales; Rutaceae
Description: Citrus clementina (C. clementina) long non-coding RNA (CCLE_LNC004944)
Source: RNAcentral